Molecule: small nucleolar RNA, 119 nt
Filed under: Vicugna pacos (alpaca)
Lineage: Eukaryota; Metazoa; Chordata; Mammalia; Artiodactyla; Camelidae
Description: Small nucleolar RNA SNORA55 (ENSVPAG00000017841.1)
Rfam family: Small nucleolar RNA SNORA55
About the family: ACA55 is a member of the H/ACA class of snoRNA that guide the sites of modification of uridines to pseudouridines.
Source: RNAcentral
GCACCUAUAUCUUUCCCAUUCUUUGCUGCUUCGUGCUGGUGUGGGGACAGAUGGUGCUACAGUAUGAGCAGAGGAAAUCCAGACAGGGUGGGAUCCUCUAGAGUCGACCUGCAGGCAUG